Molecule: small nuclear RNA, 94 nt
Filed under: Mus caroli (Ryukyu mouse)
Lineage: Eukaryota; Metazoa; Chordata; Mammalia; Rodentia; Muridae
Source: RNAcentral
AUGCUCGCUUCAGCAGCACAUAUACUAAAAUCAGAAUGAUACAGAGAAGAUUAGCAUGGCCCCUGUGCAAAUUUGUGAAGUGUUCCAUAAUUUU